Molecule: ribosomal RNA, 776 nt
Filed under: uncultured Haemophilus sp.
Lineage: Bacteria; Pseudomonadati; Pseudomonadota; Gammaproteobacteria; Pasteurellales; Pasteurellaceae
Description: bacterial SSU rRNA
Rfam family: Bacterial small subunit ribosomal RNA
Source: RNAcentral
AGAAAGCUUGCUUUCUUGCUGACGAGUGGCGGACGGGUGAGUAAUGCUUGGGAAUCUGGCUUAUGGAGGGGGAUAACGACAGGAAACUGUCGCUAAUACCGCGUAUUAUCGGAAGAUGAAAGUGCGGGACUGAGAGGCCGCAUGCCAUAGGAUGAGCCCAAGUGGGAUUAGGUAGUUGGUGGGGUAAAGGCCUACCAAGCCAGCGAUCUCUAGCUGGUCUGAGAGGAUGACCAGCCACACUGGAACUGAGACACGGUCCAGACUCCUACGGGAGGCAGCAGUGGGGAAUAUUGCGCAAUGGGGGGAACCCUGACGCAGCCAUGCCGCGUGAAUGAAGAAGGCCUUCGGGUUGUAAAGUUCUUUCGGUAUUGAGGAAGGUUGAUGUGUUAAUAGCACAUCAAAUUGACGUUAAAUACAGAAGAAGCACCGGCUAACUCCGUGCCAGCAGCCGCGGUAAUACGGAGGGUGCGAGCGUUAAUCGGAAUAACUGGGCGUAAAGGGCACGCAGGCGGUUAUUUAAGUGAGGUGUGAAAGCCCCGGGCUUAACCUGGGAAUUGCAUUUCAGACUGGGUAACUAGAGUACUUUAGGGAGGGGUAGAAUUCCACGUGUAGCGGUGAAAUGCGUAGAGAUGUGGAGGAAUACCGAAGGCGAAGGCAGCCCCUUGGGAAUGUACUGACGCUCAUGUGCGAAAGCGUGGGGAGCAAACAGGAUUAGAUACCCUGGUAGUCCACGCUGUAAACGCUGUCGAUUUGGGGGUUGGGGUUUAACUCUGGCG